UGGGGAAUAUUGGACAAUGGGCGCAAGCCUGAUCCAGCCAUGCCGCGUGAGUGAUGAAGGCCCUAGGGUUGUAAAGCUCUUUCACCGGUGAAGAUAAUGACGGUAACCGGAGAAGAAGCCCCGGCUAACUUCGUGCCAGCAGCCGCGGUAAUACGAAGGGGGCUAGCGUUGUUCGGAUUUACUGGGCGUAAAGCGCACGUAGGCGGACUUUUAAGUCAGGGGUGAAAUCCCGGGGCUCAACCCCGGAACUGCCUUUGAUACUGGAAGGCUUGAGUAUGGUGGAGGUGAGUGGAAGUCCGAGUGUAGAGGUGAAAUUCGUAGAUAUUCGGAGGAACACCAGUGGCGAAGGCGGCUCACUGGACCAUUACUGACGCUGAGGUGCGAAAGCGUGGGGAGCAAACAGG
This 404-nucleotide ribosomal RNA is filed under the name Actinomycetes bacterium. RNAcentral's name for it is "Actinobacteria bacterium partial 16S ribosomal RNA". It matches the Rfam family "Bacterial small subunit ribosomal RNA", at positions 355 to 776 of the family's 1533-position model. Lineage: Bacteria; Bacillati; Actinomycetota; Actinomycetes. The record is from RNAcentral.